GCGGGGGUGCCCGAGCUAGGACAAAGGGGCUGGACUUAAGAUCCAGUGGCGUAGGCCUACGCGGGUUCGAGUCCCGCCCCCCGCA
RNAcentral lists this transfer RNA (85 nucleotides) under Thermoprotei archaeon. RNAcentral describes it as "tRNA-Leu". It matches the Rfam family "tRNA". From Rfam's summary of the family: Transfer RNA (tRNA) molecules are approximately 80 nucleotides in length. Lineage: Archaea; Thermoproteati; Thermoproteota; Thermoprotei. The record is from RNAcentral.